GACGAACGCUGGCGGCGUGCCUAAUACAUGCAAGUUGAGCGCUGAAGGUUGGUACUUGUACCAACUGGAUGAGCAGCGAACGGGUGAGUAACGCGUGGGGAAUCUGCCUUUGAGCGGGGGACAACAUUUGGAAACGAAUGCUAAUACCGCAUAAAAACUUUAAACACAAGUUUUAAGUUUGAAAGAUGCAAUUGCAUCACUCAAAGAUGAUCCCGCGUUGUAUUAGCUAGUUGGUGAGGUAAAGGCUCACCAAGGCGAUGAUACAUAGCCGACCUGGGAGGGUGAUCGGCCACAUUGGGACUGGGACACGGCCCAAACUCCUUCGGGAGGCAGCAGUAGGGGAUCUUCGGCAAUGGACGAAAGGCUGACCGAGCAACGCCGCGUGAGUGAAGAAGGUUUUCGGAUCGUAAAACUCUGUUGGUAGAGAAGAACGUUGGUGAGAGUGGAAAGCUCAUCAAGUGACGGUAACUACCCAGAAAGGGACGGCUAACUACGUG
Molecule: ribosomal RNA, 497 nt
Filed under: uncultured bacterium
Lineage: Bacteria
Description: partial 16S ribosomal RNA
Rfam family: Bacterial small subunit ribosomal RNA
Source: RNAcentral